AUAUUAGACAAUGGGGGCAACCCUGAUCCAGCCAUGCCGCGUCUGUGAAGAAGGUAUUCGGAUUGUUAAGCACUUCAAUUUGGGAGGAAGGGCUUUAGGUUAAUACCCUGAAGUUUCCACGUUACCAACAGUAUAAGCACCGGCUAACUCUGCUCCAGCAGCCGCGGUAAUACAGAGGGUGCAAGCGUUAAUCGGAAUUACUGGGCGUAAAGCGCGCGUAGGUGGUUCAGUAAGAUGGGUGUGAAAUCCCCGGGCUUAACCUGGGAACUGCUUUCAUAACUGCUGAGCUAGAGUACGGUAGAGGGUAGUGGAAUUUCCUGUGUAGCGGUGAAAUGCGUAGAUAUAGGAAGGAACACCAGUGGCGAAGGCGACUACCUGGACUGAUACUGACACUGAGGUGCGAAAGCGUGGGGAGCAAAC
This 420-nucleotide ribosomal RNA is filed under the name uncultured bacterium. RNAcentral describes it as "partial 16S ribosomal RNA". It matches the Rfam family "Bacterial small subunit ribosomal RNA", at positions 361 to 773 of the family's 1533-position model. The record is from RNAcentral.